This is an RNA transcript of Tribolium madens (black flour beetle), 1361 nucleotides long. It is a transcript of the gene named pyrroline-5-carboxylate reductase, with no coding region annotated. The record is from RefSeq and is a predicted model, not a curated record. The transcript has 7 exons. Lineage: Eukaryota; Metazoa; Arthropoda; Insecta; Coleoptera; Tenebrionidae.
AUAGCAAACAAAUAUUAAGGUCAGGUAUUUUUUCUUGUUUACAGUAAAUUUCGUACCUGUCUACCAGUAAAAUCCCUUUAUUACGACUAACCCAUAUCUGAUUACACAAAAUAUAUUAAAGCUGUGUUUGCUAUCAUCGGAAAUUUACCAAAAAAUCGAGUACACACUUAUUGAUAAGAAGAUAUUAUUAGUCUUCUCUCCAGUCAUUACUCAAUAUUUAUUUGCUAUAACAAAAUUGACAUAAACAGUGCGUUCUGCAUGGUUGUGCUUCCAAGACAAAAUCAAAAUGACGAGCAAUUUAUUAAAAAUUGGAUUUAUCGGAGGCGGAAAAAUGGCCCAAGCGAUGGCUAAGGGAUUUAUUUCAGCAGGAUUGGCAAAGGGUGAAACAAUGAUUUCUAGCUGCCAUCCGUCGGAUUUGGCGUCGGCGAAGGCUUUUAAGGAAUUAGGAGCUGAAUCUCUUUUCGAAAACGUCCCCGUAGUGAAAAAAUCGGACGUUAUUAUCGUUUCUGUGAAACCCUCCGUCGUUCCUAUAGCUUUAGGCGACAUAAAAAAAGCUCCAGAUGUAAAAGCCGACAAAUUAUUUUUAUCAAUCGCAAUGGGAGUAACAAUAAAACAGCUCGAACAGUUUUUGCCUUCGGAGUCUCGAGUGGUUCGAGUGAUGCCAAACACCCCCGCUCUCGUUCGGAGUGGCACUUCCGUCUUUGUCACUGGCAGCAAAGCCACCGAAAAGGACGCGGAGAUUACCAAAAAACUCCUCAAAUCAGUGGGGACAUGUGAACAAGUCACCGAGAAUUUAUUAGACGCCAUAACGGCCCUCAGUGGCUCCGGGCCCGCAUAUAUUUAUGUCUUAAUAGAAGCGCUCGCCGACGGCGGGGUGAAGAUGGGUCUUCCGCGGGAUUUAGCAUAUAGAUUAGCUUCGCAGACGGUUUUAGGGGCCGCGCAAAUGGUGAGGGACACCAAUACGCAUCCCGGAGUUCUCAAAGACGAUGUUACCUCCCCGGCCGGAUCUACGGCGGCCGGAUUGCAUUUUCUCGAACAGAAAGGUUUCAGAGCAGCAGUUAUCGGAGCAAUUGAAGCCGCUACCCAGAGAUGUCGCGAGGUUGCUCAAAGCGACCCAACAAAAUAAUUUCUAAAGCACCGUCAAUUCAUAAUCGUAGAUCAUUCUUAAUUUUAUUUAAUAGAAGGUUUGGGACGCGAAAUGUGGAGAAACAACGCCAAUUCUUGUGGUUUUCAUACUAGCGAAGUUAAUUAUUGCCAACGGCAAUCGCAUCUACUGAUUCCUUUGGAAUAAACGAUCACUCGAGUGGCAUGUAGAACAAUUGCUAUUUUGUUAUUAAUGGAAAUAAACAUUUUAUAGUUAA